GUAGGUGGCAAGCGUUAUCCGGAUUUACUGGGUGUAAAGGGCGAGUAGGCGGGCAUACAAGUCAGAUGUGAAAUGUGGGGGCUUAACUCCCAAGCUGCAUUUGAAACUGUAAGUCUUGAGUGAUGGAGAGGCAGGCGGAAUUCCCGGUGUAGCGGUGGAAUGCGUAGAUAUCGGGAGGAACACCAGUGGCGAAGGCGGCCUGCUGGACAUUAACUGACGCUGAGGAGCGAAAGCGUGGGGAGCAAACAGGAUUAGAUACCCUGGUAGUCCACGCUGUAAACGAUGGAUACUAGGUGUGGGUGGUACUGACCCCAUCCGUGCCGGAGUUAACACAAUAAGUAUCCCACCUGGGGAGUACGGCCGCAAGGUUGAAACUCA
RNAcentral lists this ribosomal RNA (378 nucleotides) under uncultured bacterium. Its description in RNAcentral is "bacterial SSU rRNA". It matches the Rfam family "Bacterial small subunit ribosomal RNA", at positions 527 to 903 of the family's 1533-position model. The record is from RNAcentral.